Molecule: ribosomal RNA, 504 nt
Rfam family: Eukaryotic small subunit ribosomal RNA
AGGCGCGCAAAUUACCCACUCCCGGCACGGGGAGGUAGUGACGAAAAAUAACAAUACGGGACUCUUUUGAGACCCCGUAAUUGGAAUGAGUACACUCUAAAUCCUUUAACGAGGAUCUAUUGGAGGGCAAGUCUGGUGCCAGCAGCCGCGGUAAUUCCAGCUCCAAUAGCGUAUAUUAAAGUUGUUGCGGUUAAAAAGCUCGUAGUUGGAUCUCAGUUCCAGACGGGCGGUCCGCCUAACGGUGGUUACUGCCUGGCCUGAACAGCCAGCCGGUUUCCCUAGAUGAUCUUCACCGGUUGUCUUGGGUGACCGGCACGUUUACUUUGAAAAAAUUAGAGUGCUCAAAGCAGGCGUGUAGCCUGAAUAAUGGUGCAUGGAAUAAUGGAAUAGGACUUCGUUUCUAUUUUGUUGGUUUUCGGAACACGAGGUAAUGAUUAAGAGGGACAGACGGGGGCAUUCGUAUUGCGACGCUAGAGGUGAAAUUCUUGGACCGUCGCAAGACGA